This is a long non-coding RNA of Rhinopithecus roxellana (golden snub-nosed monkey), 453 nucleotides long. RefSeq lists it as uncharacterized. The transcript has 4 exons. The record is from RefSeq and is a predicted model, not a curated record. NCBI's taxonomy places the organism in Eukaryota, Metazoa, Chordata, Mammalia, Primates, Cercopithecidae.
CUCGCGGACCGGCUUUUCCGCCCUGACCGUGCUCCUGAUGCCUCCCGGCCGCCGUAGGCGAAGGUUCGCGGAAGCGGCGAGCAGGCGCUCACCUGAGCUGACUCAGAAAUUGGGAUGAUUUCUCUGUGGAUCCUAUAAGGAGCCUGGAGAUGGUGAAGAGAAUGCCUUUGACCAUCAGGAGACAGCUUACCUGAUUGAAUCUUGAUCACUUCUUCUGACCACUUUGGAUAUUAAAAGAACAAGUCAACAGACACAGAUGGACAGACCCUGGGUAAAGCACAGGACAUCCAGAGACCAACAAACCACAGUUCCUGCCUCAUCCAGCUACAGUGUCCCGAGGAAAGCAGAAUCUCAAGUCUUCAAAAGCCUACAGGUAUCCUGUGGCUCAGGGAGUCUACAGAAGUACUUUUUCAUGGUGUGGUGGACAACAGCCAAAGCAGACCAUAAGGACAG